Long non-coding RNA from Mauremys reevesii (Reeves's turtle), 2613 nucleotides. RefSeq lists it as uncharacterized. The transcript is spliced from 4 exons. The record is from RefSeq and is a predicted model, not a curated record. NCBI's taxonomy places the organism in Eukaryota, Metazoa, Chordata, Testudines, Geoemydidae.
UCCAAGCAGUGCCAGGGAUAGGAUGGUAUUUUUCCCCCACCUAAUUAUUAGCAUUAUUAUUAUUUUUUGAAAAAAAUCUAGAUUUUUUUUUCCCUCCUUGGGGUUGGAAUUGGUGGUUGCUUUGGGCAUUUUGGGAAUAAUGAGUUUACUGCUGCGUCUUGUUGCCGCCUCCUGUUCUCCACCCCUAGGGGCAAAACGCAAUACAUUGCCUUUGGAGGAUGCAAUGAUGAGGGGCACAAGGAGUUGUAAAUACCUUUUUUUUUAAGAGAAAAAAAUAGAUGCCUUCCUAAGCUUCCCCCCACCCCCUGUCCAACCAGAGAAGAAUUAUUUUGCUUUUGUUUUCCAUCUUUUUUUUUUAAAUCUUUCUGUGGAGCUGAGCUGCAGCGUCAGUGGAACAGAAAGAGAGAGAGAGAGAAAGAGAGAGAGAGAGAGAGAAAGAGUGGGAGAGGGGGAGACAGGCAACAUUGGUUUGGCCAUGACAAAAUGGAGAGAAACAGCACAGGUUUGGGUGCUUUAUGCACAGGAUGGCUGGUGAGAGAUGUUCUUGAGUGACGUGGGUAUGUUGGUUUAGAACGUUUGCUCUUGAGUUCUAACUCUGGUGGAAUCUUCCUCAGAAGAAGCCUUUGGAGAUCUGCCCAUGGCUAGGAUCCACUGAGUCCCUCUCCUGUGUUGAGUUAAAGAUAUCCAGUCCCCCUUCUUCCCCACCUCACCAGCGAGAAGAAACCGGAGAUGCAAAAAGGUGCCCAAGACCAUAGACUUUUGGAGGCUGUCUUUCCUAAGGUCCCAUUACCAUGGGGGUGUCAGUCAGCAGCCUCUCCCAUCUCCAGAGGGACACCAGCCUUGCUACUGCCUGAAGCCAGAAACAUCCAUGACUUUUUCAACAAGCCAAAGACUUGCCUUGCAGGGCUUCAACAGGGCUCUGGGGCGCAAGGAUGAUCAGAUCUCAGAACCAGCCCCCAAGGUUCCAGUGGUCUCCUCCACCAUUCCAUGUGGCCUCCCAAAAAAGGCAGAAGCUUUCUGGACCAAUGACCAAUCCUAACCCUGAUGAUAGCAACAGAGCUCACCCCUAAACAAGGCACAACUCCAAAGCAAAAAAACCCAACCUAUUUACAACAGGUCCCUGCUGAGGGCCGGCACGCUUUAUACCAAUGUCCAGCUGGAGAAAGAAUUCCAUGUUAUCAGGUAUCCCUGCUGACAGUAGAGUGUUGGAUUGGCUCAGCUGCUCAACCUCAAACUCUGGUUCCAGAUCUGAAGGAUGAAGGACAACAGGAGGGAGGGAGCUGGGAGCCUGUCCCCUAGCAGAAGCCCCCCAGUGAGCUCCCAAAUGGAGGGUGGGUAGGAUGUGCCCAGGCGCAAGUCCUACAGCAAGGCCCAAGGAGAUGUGUGGGUUGGCAGCCUGUCUCUGACAGCCCUUGUGCAGCUGCCCUGGAAGUUGGAUCCUCCUCUGUCUCUGCAAGGGAAGUGUCAUUACGGAUCCGCCCAGUCUGCAAUGGAGCCGGAGUGAGAAAAGUACCUGGAAAACAUGCCUGGGGCCAGCUCACUCUUCAGCCGCAGCUUCUCGAUAAACUUGGACCACAGCUGUGCUGCUCAAAUUCCCAGUCAGCGCUACCUUGGGGCCCUGCAACCCCCAUCUCACCGAAACAGACUUAAACACACAUCCUGCACCUCGGGGAAGUCCUCUGGAACCUGCAGUUCUUGUGCAUCUGUGAGGGCUCUCUGCCAUGGAAACCAAGCUACAGUCCUAUGAUGUCAUUACAAAACGAAACAGAGAAAAACCUCUAAGUGUAACCAACAGUAUCCUUUGAUUUCCUCACCCCCUUACCUCCUGCAUAUUAAACUGUACAGCGAGCUGUGCAUAAGGCAGCUAGGAACUGGUGUGUGCAUGUGACCCAGCCAAUAACAAGGCAAGUUCUGUGUGAGUUUAUAACACACUCCGGGUAUUUUAUGAAAGUUGAUUUUACUCAGCUGCUUGCCAGUAACUUUGUCAGUUACAAAGGUGUCAAUAGCCACCCUUUAAAUAUCCUCACAGUCCAAUUAAACUUCCCCCAAGAAUAUCAGGAGAUCAUCUAGUCCAACCCCUUGCUCAAAGCAGGACUAAUCCCCAAACAGUUUUUUUUUUUUUAAACCCUGUUCCUUUAAUGGCCCCCUCAAGGAUUGAAUUCACAACCCUGAGUUUAACAGGCCAAUGCUCAAACCACUGAGCUACCCCUCCCUAGACUAGGGCAACAUUUUUGGAAAAGCAACUAGUGAUUUUAUCUACCUCACUUUCUGGGGGGUGGGGGUGGCGUAUCUUAAAAGGAGUCUGAUUUUCAGAAAGGGUUGAUCCUUCCUCCUCUGCAAAUUAGGCCCCUUUAAGGUGCUUCAAAUUAGGCACCCAGAGGUUUACUCAUGAGGGUGGUUUUUCCCUUUAACCCUGCACAUUCCCCCUACCUGAAAAUAACGUAGCUGUGGCACUUCCACUGGGUGCUAUCAUCCUUUCAGCGGGUUAUUGUUUGAUAAGCAAAUGUAGAUGUAAACAGGUUUGAACCCACUCAAACGCUGACCCUGCAAUAAGUUAGCUUCUCCCUGUAAUUUACACAUUUGUUUGUUUCUUUUUAAAAAAGAUCAAUUGGC